CGUAAAACAUUUACUUUGCAAAGACAUUUCUCAUAUAUUCAAGUACCCCUAAUUAAAUACUAUUUGGAGAACAUUAAAAUACACACUUCACUGAUCUUUAGUGUUUUAGGUAUAAUUACAGGGAUGGAUAUUCUACUCCAUGCUCCUCAUCCUAUUUGGUAAAAGGGAAGGUGAUGAAAGAGAUGGAAGACAUUAUUGCGUUUUUCCAGGAACUUGCACUAUUGUGGAAUGGAAUAAAGCAAAGGAUGGGGAAUAGAGGGACUUGAAAACAGAAGCAUGUGAAUUUUAUAUGAGAUUUUUCAUGCAUAUGUAUAUCAUGGAAAGAGUGGCCCAGAAAUCUUGGGAGCAGCUAAGAGACUUGGGAGUGGUGUUGAAUGGAUGCUGGCUGUUGCAGCCCUCCCUUGGUACUGUGUGGUGUUGCGGUGUUGGCAGAAUUGCUGGGAGUUUGGAGUAAAGAAACAGACAACUAUAGGGCAUGUGUGGAGUGUAUGUAUUGCAGACCAAAACAUCAUCCCUUGCAUAGGCCCUGUGACCUAUUUCUAAGUUAGAGUAAAUUUAACAUGAUGGAUAAGAACCUUAUGGUCAGACAAAAUUCUGAAUCUCAGCCCUUCCAUUAUUAGCUACUUGGCCACGUGGAAUUCCAACUUCUCUGAGUUUCAGCUUCUUUGCCUAUAAAUUGGGGAUAAUAAUGGCGCCUACCCCACAGUGUUGUUGUGAGUAAAUGAGUUACACACUGAGCACAGUGCUUGACUUAAGCAGAUACUCAAUGGUGUGACCUUAAACAUGAGUAAAGGUAAAUUUGCACUAUACGUGAUUUUCCAGGAAAUAGAGAGCACUGUUUACCAAAAAGAAACAAAAAUGGCAUUUUUUAAACCAAAAUUAGGUAAUCCUACUGCGACACAUAGGUUCCAUUGCCUUUAUGUCAUCUUCAAACAUGGCAGCAUGGCUUCAACAUAAACAGAACAUCAGUGUGACACAGCUUGGAAAGUUGAUGACCUUGAAAAGAGGCGUACAUCUCUCCUCUGAUUCUAAGUUAAAUAUUAAUGUUUAUUUUAUAUCAGGCGGGCAUUUCAAAGUCUGCUUUCUAUAUUCCCUGUUUAUGACUUGAGAGGCUAUCCAAAAAUACGUUAUAAAAUAAAAACAUAAAAUUCCACACUCUCUGCCUAUUUUAAUAUUCUAAUCUCACUCUGUUUUUGUUUUUUGACACUGAGAUACGAUUAAGAGCAGACUAUUUCUGACGCUAUGUUGGUUUCUGAAAAACAUUUUUUUCUCCUAUCUUUAAAACACUAGCAGAACGUUAAAAUUCAGGGAAGCACCUUGUCGGAAUAUUGAUUUAUUCAUGUAGAAAUCACAGCUUAAAGUGAAGAGCAGUUGGUUAACUUGUGGCAAAUCUCAACCUCUGACUACAUUCCAGAGUAUCUGCAGCUUAGAGAAUAAGAAAAGUUGACUAGAGAUAGUUUCAAAUUUUCCUUUUUGUCCUCAUCUAGAAUUGUACGUGGGGCCUUUCGCUUCACUCAUAAAUGUUUCUGUCUGUAUUCUAGUGUUAUCCAGGGCCCAGAAAUUUAUUCUUGCAUAUAACAUAGUUAUAGUUCACAUGAAAAGAGAAAUAUUGAUGUAGAAGGCUUUCAGAAGGGAUGCUGGAAGCAGGGUUCCAUUCGAGGACAAACCAGGUCACAGAGGAGAGUGAAAAUCACCUGGUGACCAUUGAAAAGGCCCCGGAGACAAAAACUCCUUAUUUGAGGAAUUUAGAAGAGAGUACGGGUCACCCGGUGACUAUUAAACAGGCCCUCCGGAGGCACAACUCCUUAUCUGGGAAAAUUAGAAGUAAUUAGACUUUCCUAAUAUCCAAAGUUGGCCUCUGGUUCCAGGCCUUUUUCAAUCUUUCUAAGUAAUUAAAAUUUCUAUACAUCUCUUUAUAUAGAAAUGGAAAUUUAGGAGAAUGGUCAGUGCCAUAGUUCCCAUUGCAGUACAUUUAGGGAACCAUACAUUUUUGGUAGCUUUCUCAUUCUUUAAAAAUUUUUAAAUUUGGGGCAAUUCUUCACAGCUCAGUAUCUUAUAUCAGUAAUGCCAUUCCAAAACUCAUUUUACAACCCUUGCUGACAUUAACACACCAAAAUGUCUACAAACUUGAUCAUUUAUCAUGAUCUAUGUGACUAAUACGGUCCAAAUUACCCUUAAGCUCCCGCCUUAAGGUCCAUGAAUACCCCUAAGGAAAAACCCACAGCAGUGCACUCAGUCCUCUCACUGCGGUGCACUGCUGCACUCUUCUGCAGUGUUCUUUCUUUCCAAUAAACUUUUCCUUUUCAAACCUAUGCUGUUGUUGGUAAAUUCUUUUUACCAACACGUGAGUUGAGCACUUCCUGAUGCCAGGGCUCUGACACUUCGCCCGACAGUCACCUCUGACAACAGUGCCCUAUAAGCAUUUUAAAGUUGUGAGUAGAUAGCUUGACUUGAGCUGGGUUUGUGUGCCCCGGGUUCUCCCACUGUGCAAUGUCCUGCUCUUUUUCAAGCCAGAAGUCUGCCAGCUCCUGAAGCCCAGGAGCAAGGCGCCCCAGUGAGUACUUUGCCAUCUCUUGUUCACAAUCUUGCUGUGGCCCGUCCCAGGGGGAAAAUAAUUGCAUAUGAUUAAUGAUUUGAGAGACAUUUAAAGUAGAGCAAAAAGUAAGAAGAGUGGAGAUAUGGUUGGCAGGGUGACAGCCAGUGCCGGAAGUUGUUUUGCAUAAAGUAGGCUGACAGGGAAUUAUUCCAUCAGCUUUCGAAAAAAGCUUAGGGGUCAUUCUACUUUGCCUUCGGGCACUUGAAAUCUGGGAAGGAUGGAAGGAAGUGGUGACAAAGAUACUGAGAUGUUCACUAGCCCUGCAGUGAGAGUGAAAAUACUCCUAAACUUUUUAAACGGUUCUGUAAACAAUGGAUUGUUUUCCCCCCAUAAAAUAGUGAAAGUGAAUAGCUACUCGAUGUAUCCGAUUGUUUAUUUUAGGAAUUCAUUUGGCAUUGGACAGACCUAUGCUUGAAAAAUAACUUUUAAAUUUCAAACACAUAGGUAUAUAAUUUAUUUUACAUUUUUUCAAUAAUAUUUAACAUAUGUGGAAAUGAGGCUCAGAGAGUUGAUGUGACUUGGACUCCGAGUUCUAUGCUCAUUUGAUCCAUGCCAUACUUUCUCCUAAGAGCUAAUUACUGUGAUGUGCAAAAGUGCUAAGAUGCUUUCCUCACUUAUAAGAAGCUUAUGUUCUACCUAUCGAGACAACGAAACAGGUAAACAAGGCAUCUUUUUAUCUAACAGCAUUGUGUGGGUAUGCACCUACACUUAGAGAAUAAACGUGUGUUAUGAGGUGCCAGUUGUACGGUGGACGAUAGACAACAUAGUGCCCAGGUCAAGAAUCAAGG
Molecule: long non-coding RNA, 3384 nt
Filed under: Homo sapiens (human)
Lineage: Eukaryota; Metazoa; Chordata; Mammalia; Primates; Hominidae
Description: non-protein coding lnc-PAWR-12:1
Source: RNAcentral